RNAcentral lists this ribosomal RNA (502 nucleotides) under uncultured bacterium. RNAcentral describes it as "partial 16S ribosomal RNA". It matches the Rfam family "Bacterial small subunit ribosomal RNA", at positions 29 to 523 of the family's 1533-position model. The record is from RNAcentral.
AUUGAACGCUGGCGGAAUGCUUUACACAUGCAAGUCGAACGGCAGCACGGGUGCUUGCACCUGGUGGCGAGUGGCGAACGGGUGAGUAAUACAUCGGAACGUACCCUGACGUGGGGGAUAACGUAGCGAAAGUUACGCUAAUACCGCAUACGUCCUGAGGGAGAAAGCAGGGGAUCGUAAGACCUUGCGCGUUAGGAGCGGCCGAUGGCGGAUUAGCUAGUUGGUAGGGUAAAGGCCUACCAAGGCGACGAUCCGUAGCGGGUCUGAGAGGACGACCCGCCACACUGGAACUGAGACACGGUCCAGACUCCUACGGGAGGCAGCAGUGGGGAAUUUUGGACAGUGGGCGAAAGCCUGAUCCAGCCAUUCCGCGUGAGUGAAGAAGGCCCUCGGGUUGUAAAGCUCUUUCGGCAGGGAAGAAACGGUUUUGGAUAAUACCCAGAACUAAUGACGGUACCUGAAGAAGAAGCACCGGCUAACUACGUGCCAGCCGCCGCGGUAA